AGGGUUAACGCUGGCGGCGUGCCUAACACAUGCAAGUCGAACGAGGUAGCAAUACCUAGUGGCAGACGGGUGAGUAACGCGUGGUCAACCUACCGUUGAGUGGGGGAUAACUAGCCGAAAGGUUAGCUAAUACCGCAUACGUCUCCGAGGGGCAUCCCUUGGCGAUAAAAGGAGCAAUCCGCUCGAUGACGGGACCGCGUCCCAUUAGCUAGAUGGUGGGGUAACGGCCUACCAUGGCACCGAUGGGUAGCUGGUUUUGAGAGAGCGACCAGCCACACUGGGACUGAGAAACGGCCCAGACUCCUACGGGAGGCAGCAGUGAGGAAUUUUCCGCAAUGGGCGCAAGCCUGACGGAGCGACGCCGCGUGUGGGAAGAAGGCCUUCGGGUCGUAAACCACGUGUCGGAAGGGGACGAUAAUGACGGUACCCUUGGAGGAGCCCGGCUAACUACGCGCCAGCAGCCGC
RNAcentral lists this ribosomal RNA (465 nucleotides) under uncultured bacterium. Its description in RNAcentral is "SSU rRNA". It matches the Rfam family "Bacterial small subunit ribosomal RNA", at positions 26 to 518 of the family's 1533-position model. The record is from RNAcentral.